AGGAAAGCAGGGGAUCGCAAGACCUUGCGCUUUUGGAGCGGCCGAUGUCUGAUUAGCUAGUUGGUGAGGUAAAGGCUUACCAAGGCUUCGAUCAGUAGCUGGUCUGAGAGGACGACCAGCCACACUGGGACUGAGACACGGCCCAGACUCCUACGGGAGGCAGCAGUGGGGAAUUUUGGACAAUGGGGGCAACCCUGAUCCAGCCAUGCCGCGUGAGUGAAGAAGGCCUUCGGGUUGUAAAGCUCUUUCAGCCGGAACGAAAAGGUUACGGUUAAUACCCGUGACUAAUGACGGUACCGGAAGAAGAAGCACCGGCUAACUACGUGCCAGCAGCUGCGGUAAUACGUAGGGUGCGAGCGUUAAUCGGAAUUACUGGGCGUAAAGCGUGCGCAGGCGGUUUUGUAAGUCAGAUGUGAAAUCCCCGGGCUUAACCUGGGAACUGCGUUUGAAACUACAAAGCU
This 461-nucleotide ribosomal RNA is filed under the name uncultured beta proteobacterium. RNAcentral describes it as "bacterial SSU rRNA". It matches the Rfam family "Bacterial small subunit ribosomal RNA", at positions 200 to 642 of the family's 1533-position model. Lineage: Bacteria; Pseudomonadati; Pseudomonadota; Betaproteobacteria. The record is from RNAcentral.